GCGAGAGAUAUGCUUGUAAGGACUCGGCAAGUUGUCUUCAUAAGUUAGACGAGAUGAAGAACCAUUGAUAAGUAANUUUAUUACUUAAAGGUGGUGUCACAAAAUCGGAGGCCCCGACUGUUUACUUAAAACACAGCUUUCUGCUACGAAUAAUAUCUUUGUAUAGAAAGCGAAUUUUGCCCAAUGCCAUUAAUAUAAAGUUGAUAAGAUUUAUUUAAAAAUAAAUUAAUGUUGACUGAAGUUCUGGUCAAUGGCGGUCUUAUCUAUGAGGAUCCUAAGGUAGCAAAAUUCAUUGUCCAUUAAAUGUGGUCCUGAUUGAAUAAAGUAACGAUGGUCUCACUGUCUCUACAAGCAUCUCAGUGAAAUUGAAUUAGCCGUGCAGAUGCGGUUUAACUUCGGGUAGACGGGAAGACCCUAUCAGGCUUCUACUGA
RNAcentral lists this ribosomal RNA (432 nucleotides) under Tulasnella sp. 128. Its description in RNAcentral is "LSU rRNA". It matches the Rfam family "Bacterial large subunit ribosomal RNA", at positions 1688 to 2107 of the family's 2925-position model. Lineage: Eukaryota; Fungi; Basidiomycota; Agaricomycetes; Cantharellales; Tulasnellaceae. The record is from RNAcentral.